RNAcentral lists this ribosomal RNA (371 nucleotides) under Vibrio parahaemolyticus. Its description in RNAcentral is "bacterial SSU rRNA". It matches the Rfam family "Bacterial small subunit ribosomal RNA", at positions 77 to 451 of the family's 1533-position model. Lineage: Bacteria; Pseudomonadati; Pseudomonadota; Gammaproteobacteria; Vibrionales; Vibrionaceae. The record is from RNAcentral.
GAACGAUAACGGCGUCGAGCGGCGGACGGGUGAGUAAUGCCUAGGAAAUUGCCCUGAUGUGGGGGAUAACCAUUGGAAACGAUGGCUAAUACCGCAUGAUGCCUACGGGCCAAAGAGGGGGACCUUCGGGCCUCUCGCGUCAGGAUAUGCCUAGGUGGGAUUAGCUAGUUGGUGAGGUAAGGGCUCACCAAGGCGACGAUCCCUAGCUGGUCUGAGAGGAUGAUCAGCCACACUGGAACUGAGACACGGUCCAGACUCCUACGGGAGGCAGCAGUGGGGAAUAUUGCACAAUGGGCGCAAGCCUGAUGCAGCCAUGCCGCGUGUGUGAAGAAGGCCUUCGGGUUGUAAAGCACUUUCAGUCGUGAGGAAGG